UGUGCUCAUAGCGGUGUGGUCCCACCCGUCCCCAUUCCGAACACGGAAGUGAAACGCACCUGCGCCGAUGGUACUCGGCCCGAAGGGGCCCGGGAGAGUAGGGCAGCGCAGAGGU
Molecule: ribosomal RNA, 115 nt
Filed under: Calidithermus chliarophilus
Lineage: Bacteria; Thermotogati; Deinococcota; Deinococci; Thermales; Thermaceae
Source: RNAcentral